CCUACGGGAGGCAGCAGUGAGGAAUAUUGCGCAAUGAGCGAAAGCUAGACGCAGCAACGCCGCGUGGACGAUGAAGGCCUUCGGGUCGUAAAGUCCUUUUCAGAGGGACGAGUGAGGACGGUACCUCUGGAAUAAGUCACGGCUAACUACGUGCCAGCAGCCGCGGUAAAACGUAGGUGGCGAGCGUUAUCCGGAUUCACUGGGCGUAAAGCGCCUGCAGGCGGUCUUGUAAGUGGGAUGUGAAAUCUCCUGGCUUAACUGGGAGGGGCCAUUCCAUACUGCGAGGCUUGAGGGCAGAAGAGGGAAGCGGAAUUCCCGGUGUAGUGGUGAAAUGCGUAGAUAUCGGGAGGAACACCAGUGGCGAAGGCGGCUUCCUGGCCUGCACCUGACGCUAAGAGGCGAAAGCUAGGGGAGCGAACGGGAUUAGAAACCCCGGUAGUCCUAGCUAUAAACGAUGGACACUAGAUAUUCCUGCGUUUAUGUGGGAGUGUCGAAGCUAACGCGUUAAGUGUCCCGCCUGGGGAGUACGGUCGCAAGGCUGAAACUUAAAGGAAUUGACGG
This 561-nucleotide ribosomal RNA is filed under the name uncultured bacterium. RNAcentral describes it as "bacterial SSU rRNA". It matches the Rfam family "Bacterial small subunit ribosomal RNA", at positions 338 to 916 of the family's 1533-position model. The record is from RNAcentral.